Molecule: long non-coding RNA, 816 nt
Filed under: Homo sapiens (human)
Lineage: Eukaryota; Metazoa; Chordata; Mammalia; Primates; Hominidae
Description: HSALNT0357128
Source: RNAcentral
CAUUUCCCCUCCGUUCUUCCUCUUGGAGCUGUUCCCAGUCCCGGUGGCCCUUCUGAAGCCGAGUGGGAAGCUCAGAAGGAACCUCUGGAUUUGUUUACCGGUGUCAGGAAUGGAAACUGCUGGGGCACCUGUGUACUCUUGCUGGUUUCUUAAACUCUGUCUGAAUCCCACACACCCUUGCUUUUCGGGGAGUUGUGGCUGGCUGGGACAGGAGCAAGGAGUCUCUCCUUUGAGUCAAAGGAGGCACAGUAGCCAGAAGGAGGGCUUAGAUAUGAGAAUGUUACAGGCCAAGAAGCUAGACGGACCAUCUGGAGAGUGACCAAAAUGAAAAGCGCAGCGGCAGUUGUGCAGCUGUGGUCUGGAGCGAGGUGUCCAGGGUCUUGGGCAAUGGAAGACAUAGAGGAGGCCAGAGAUGAUUGCUUCCAAUGGAGUCUGUAGCUCGCACUUGCUUUUGUGGCCAGUGAUGUGAGCAGAUGGGUUUACCAGGCUAUAAGCUUUUGGUGGCUGUGUGCAAAGACUUCCACUGAGAUGAUCGUGUCUCCUCAGGCACAUCUGGGUGUUGGUCCUGACAGCUGGAGUAUUGGGGUUUGAGUUUUGCCUGAAGGACUCACUGGUGAGGCUGAACCAAGUGUGUUUCUUUGGCCAUCACAAGGACCCAGGCAGGAUGUCAUACUCAGCAGUACAGCAAGAACUGGUCCAAUGCUUCAGAUCUGUGAUUCUCAAUGGGCAGAGGGCAAUAAGUAAUGUCUGAAGACUUUUUAAAAAAAAAUUAAUUAGAGAGAGGGUCUUGGCUCACUGCAGCCUCCAACUCCUGGG